Molecule: ribosomal RNA, 751 nt
Filed under: uncultured archaeon
Lineage: Archaea
Description: bacterial SSU rRNA
Rfam family: Archaeal small subunit ribosomal RNA
Source: RNAcentral
CAUGGCGUACUGCUCAGUAACACGUGGACAACCUACCCUGAGGACGGGAAUAAACCCGGGAAACUGGGUAUAAUACCCGAUAGAUCUCGGCUGCUGGAAUGCACCGAGGUCGAAAGCUCCGGCGCCUCAGGAUGGGUCUGCGGCCUAUCAGGUAGUAGUGGGUGUAGCGUACCUACUAGCCUACGACGGGUACGGGUUGUGAGAGCAAGAGCCCGGAGAUGGAUUCUGAGACACGAAUCCAGGCCCUACGGGGUGCAGCAGGCGCGAAAACUUUACAAUGCCGGCAACGGCGAUAAGGGGACCUCGAGUGCCAGGUUACAAAUCUGGCUGUCGUGAUGCCUAAAAAGCAUUGCAUAGCAAGGGCCGGGCAAGACCGGUGCCAGCCGCCGCGGUAACACCGGCGGCUCGAGUGGUAACCGUUAUUAUUGGGUCUAAAGGGUCUGUAGCCGGCCGGAUAAGUCUCUUGGGAAAUCCAGCAGCUCAACUGUUGGGCUUUCAGGAGAUACUGUCUGGCUCGAGGCCGGGAGAGGUGAGAGGUACUUCAGGGGUAGGGGUGAAAUCUUGUAAUCCUUGAAGGACCACCAGUGGCGAAGGCGUCUCACCAGAACGGACCUGACGGCAAGGGACGAAAGCUAGGGGCACGAACCGGAUUAGAUACCCGGGUAGUCCUAGCCGUAAACGAUACUCGCUAGGUGUCGGCCACGGUGCGACCGUGGUCGGUGCCGUAGGGAAGCCGUGAAGCGAGCCACCU